UCAUAGCAAGGAGUCAAAGCA
Molecule: non-coding RNA, 21 nt
Filed under: Arabidopsis thaliana (thale cress)
Lineage: Eukaryota; Viridiplantae; Streptophyta; Magnoliopsida; Brassicales; Brassicaceae
Source: RNAcentral